AAUAGAAACGUUAAACGAUAAUUAUUUUUACUUCAAUAGAAUAUUUUCGAUAGAAUAUUUAAAAAAAAUGUUGCAAUAGAAGGAGGCCAAUUUUUCAACAGAAAGUUUCAGCCAGAGGAUUAUUAAUGUAUAUUAAAAUAUUAAUAUUAAAAUUGUUAAUUAUAAACUGUUUAUAAAUAGAACAAUCUUUUUCAUUUACAAUUUGGCUAAUAGUCUUUUGCUUUACAGGGACUCUAAUAAAAUAUUGCUCAUAUAUGUUGCUCAUUGUUAAAUGAUGGAUUAACAAUUUUCUAUAUCGCAUGAGGACACUGCUCUUGCAAAAUAGUUUAUUUUUAUUAGCUGUUUGUGAUACUUUUGCCUUAAUAAAUAGCUGGUAAACUGGUGAUUUUUCAUAUGUGUCACACUUCUAGCAAUUGGAAUUUAGCAAGGCGACUAGGAAAUUUCGCUGUUGCGAAUAUUUCGAUUAAUCAGAAAUUGGAGGAAGAGGAAUCCAUGUGCAGCGAAAUCGCUGGAUUUCCCGGGUUAAAUAACGUCAAAGAGCACCAGACAUUUUACUCUCUAAAGCUUUCUACUUACUUCUCACAUACCAAACUUCAAGCUGUGGCAGAAAAAUUGCAUACGAUAUUCGAUUGAAAUUAUCUUUGCAACCAAGAGCACAUCAUUCGCGGACGAAUUAUGUUUGCAAAUUAAUAGAAUAAAUGCGUGAAGUUCCUUUCUUGUACUAUAUGUCUAGCUAUGCGAGAAUUACAAUUAGGAUACUUUUAUUAAAUUCGAUUACAUUUUAUCAUAUGCUUUUAUAAUAUAAAUUUUGUCUGCAUUUAAUAACAAAGAUGAGAACAUUUUUUCCUAUAGUGAAACUAUCAAUGCAAGUAUAAUUACUUCUUUGUCCUUGAGAUUUCUUAUAUUUCUGGAACAUCAGAUAUAAAGAGUAUGUACUUUCUCAACUUUUUAUAGAAAAUUAAUAUUACAAAAAAAAAAAAAAACAAAAACAAAGAAAAGGUACACAGUUAUGAAAUAUUUGGUUUUAACAUCAAACGUAUACAAAUUUUCCUACCUUUGCUUACUUUGCACCUUUCAUGAACAAAGUAUUGCAAAAUUUGGAAAGAAGAUACAGUGCCAUGAAUAAUUAUGAACUGCACUUCAUUUUUAGGAUAUUUCAUAAUAUUCGAAGAAAAAUUGACAAUAUCCUUUAAUAUAACGUAAACCAAAGCUGAAGAUUAAACAAACAAAAAUUUGUCUCCUUCGAAAUCUGGAGGAAAACCUUUUUCUAAUUAAACUUGUAUUGUAAACUUGUAUUUGUAAGUUAAUUUUGUUACAUUUUCAUUCAAUAUUUUUAACAGAUGUUUCUUUAUCUUUGAUUACUCCUAUUAAUCUGUUACUCUACACUGUCUACCAACUUAUUCAAAGCAAAUCUUAUUCUUCUUUUUUAAAUUUAACGAUAUUUUCUACAGGUGGUUCCUCCCGGUGAUAAACUUUCCUCGCUGGAAUUCCCCAUAGGCUGUCGAUUGGGAUUUCGGACGAGAACUCGAUGCUGGCCAUGGUAAUAAUUCCAUUUCGAAAUCUUGAAAUCAUUUUUCUGUACCGGCGGCUGUACGAAUAGGAGCACUGUCUCGCUGAAAAAUUGUCUUUUCGUCUCCUCUUUCAAUUACACAGGAGCUGAGGUUUCUUGAAAUUAUCGAAGAAAGAACGAGUCUAUGAUUACUCGCAGCACAGUAUCCCAAGGAACAUGAACGUGAAAAAGGAGCGAGGAGAACAGCAGCUUUAAAAUUCGAAACUUACGCCACUACAACUAACUAGAACAACUUGUUUCAAUCGCUACAUUGUUACAUCAAAACCUUCGUUUCACUACAAAAUUAUUAACUCAACCCUCUGUACGGAGUCUGCGUUAUUUUUAUUUAACGUAAUCGAUUAACAGCAGAAAUAUUUCGUUCAUUUGCGAUGUGAAAUAUUCAUCUGAUUUAUUUACUUGUUCGACAAACCUUCUGCUGUAGCGGAUUAACGCGCGGGACGCAGGAGCAAAAAGGGACAAAAUACAGUGGAGAAGUGAAAAGUAGCGGAAGAUGCGCGGCGUAUGUACGAAAGAAGAGUAAAAGGAUUUUGUGAAUAGACAGACAGAAUGAGAAUUUUAAGAAGCAAUGACAAUUUUAAGUGUAAAGACAAGUUACGACCUAACACUGUCGCAGAAAACGCUAGAAACAAUGUCUUCAAGAUACUUUAGAUUGGCCGAAGAUAUCUUCGCUCGUACGACACGAGUUCACGUACGCUUCACCGUACGAUUUAGCGUGCAGUGUUGUUUCACGCGAAACAACGGAACACUUGCUAAGCUUCUCGAUGGUACAUUGAGCAACAGCAACUGCUGAUGUCCGGCCAGUCGACGAUAUCUUUAGACAUUUAAUUAUUAACACUUUACCGACCGAUAGCCGAUUAAUCGGUUUUUUGUUAUCGACACUUACCGACCGACAGGCUAUUAAUCGGCUUUCUGUCUCCGACGCUUACCGACCGAUAGCCUAUUAAUCGGCUUUUUGUCAACGACAAUCUUUCUCAUUAUUUCAGCAGUAGUUUGUUAUUUAGUACCAAGGUUGCUUGUUCAGUUGCGUUAGUUUCGUAGGCUCUCGGUUUUAUACGAAUUUCAAAAACGUACCGUUCGCGAUGAAGAAAAAGAACGGUAUUGGAGAGUCUAAACCGAAACAGAGCCGGCGCCAGGGACAGUCUGCGCCUGAGAUGCCGGUCGGACGUGCGUGUGCUGUUGAAUCGCUAGCGGUCGGUAAAGCGCUGACAAAGAUUACAUGAAAUAUGAUUGUCCGAAUUAUCGUUAGUUGAAAUUUGUCGUAACUAGACCGCGGAUGUUUAUGCAGAAUUAUAGUUCUGUGAAUAAGACUGAAGAAACGUUGCAGCAAAAAUUUCGUUGUUUCUUUUUUUACAGCAACUAUACUAUGGAUAUUUUAUAUAUCUUCGUGUAUUAUGCGCGUGCACGUGUACAUUUUGUCUUAAUUAAAUGCGCGUAAACGUCCGCGGUGCAACUGUAGUAUCGUUAGAAAUGCAGCGAAUUUUGUUUCCAGUAGUUUGAUGGUUUCAGCGAUGAUCUCUGUCGGAAAUUGGAAAACGACAACGAGAACGGCGUAUCUUAAUUGUCAAUGUCGAAUACGCGUUGAAACUUGCAACAGCCAAUUUUAUCCAGCUAACGAUAGUUACCUCGCAGUUCAGCACUGCACGACCAUCCUUGAGAAACGCUCUUAAAUUUCAAUCUACUUUACCGACCGGUAUAAAGUAGAAUUGCGCUUUUAACGCUCUCGGCGAGGUUUGGCUAGGUAAACAGGCGAGCAAAAAUAUUAUUCUCAGAUAAACAGAAGAUUUCGUAGAAUUACAAAAAUAUUGUCAACCGGCGGUACGUUGUUUCUCGUAGGUGUGUGUGUGCGUGUGUAAGCCCAGAUGAAAUUAAGGAUUUCAUAAAUAUUUACGGAUACGUGUUCGUAAAUAUUGAUUUAUAAAUAUGGAAGACUCGCGGGCAAAUGGAUUUCACUGGCGGCAAAUACGAUACGAGUUAUUUUUUCACUAUUUUAAUAUAAAAAUAACGUCGUUCUCGUUUCGGUUCCAUCUACGUAUUAUUUUCACGGCUUGGAAUUUUCUACUUUCUGUUUCUGGCUUUAUUUCUACGU
Bombus huntii is the source of this 3656-nucleotide long non-coding RNA. RefSeq lists it as uncharacterized. The transcript is spliced from 4 exons. The record is from RefSeq and is a predicted model, not a curated record. NCBI's taxonomy places the organism in Eukaryota, Metazoa, Arthropoda, Insecta, Hymenoptera, Apidae.